RNAcentral lists this ribosomal RNA (483 nucleotides) under uncultured bacterium. RNAcentral's name for it is "partial 16S ribosomal RNA". It matches the Rfam family "Bacterial small subunit ribosomal RNA", at positions 28 to 523 of the family's 1533-position model. The record is from RNAcentral.
GACGAACGCUGGCGGCGUGCUUUACACAUGCAAGUCGAACGGUGAAGGUGGAGCUUGCUCCGCCGGAUCAGUGGCGAACGGGUGAGUAACUCGUGGGCAACCUGCCCCUAACUUUGGGAUAACUACUCGAAAGAGUAGCUAAUACCGGAUACGAAGUCUGUAGGCAUCUACGGAUUUGGAAAGUUUUUCGGUUAGGGAUGGGCCCGCGGCCUAUCAGCUUGUUGGUGAGGUAGUGGCUCACCAAGGGGACGACGGGUAGCCGGCCUGAGAGGGCGACCGGCCACACUGGGCGUGAGACACGGCCCAGACUCCUACGGGAGGCAGCAGUGGGGAAUAUUGCGCAAUGGGCGAAAGCCUGACGCAGCAACGCCGCGUGCGGGAUGAAGGCCUUUGGGUUGUAAACCGCUUUCAGCAGGGAAGAAGCGAAAGUGACGGUACCUGCAGAAGAAGCACCGGCUAACUACGUGCCAGCCGCCGCAGUAA